UACGUAGGGGGCAAGCGUUGUCCGGAAUCAUUGGGCGUAAAGAGCGUGUAGGCGGCCCGAUAAGUCCGCUGUGAAAGUCCAGGGCUCAACCCUGGGAUGCCGGUGGAUACUGUCGGGCUCGAGUCCGGAAGAGGAGUGUGGAAUUCCGUGGUGUAGCGGUGAAAUGCGUUGAUAUCUACAGGAACUCCGGUGGCGAAAGCGGCGUG
This 206-nucleotide ribosomal RNA is filed under the name uncultured bacterium. Its description in RNAcentral is "partial 16S ribosomal RNA". It matches the Rfam family "Bacterial small subunit ribosomal RNA", at positions 524 to 728 of the family's 1533-position model. The record is from RNAcentral.